AGAACGAACGCUGGCGGCAGGCCUCAAACAUGCAAGUCUAGGGGGGCGUAGCAAUACGUCACCGGCGGACGGGUGCGUAACACGUGGGAAUGUACUUAUUGGUUCGGAACAACUCAGGGAAACUUGAGCUAAUACCGAAUGUGCCCGUAAGGGGAAAGAUUUAUCGCCAAUAAAUCAGCCCGCGUUCGAUUAGCUAGUUGGUGGGGUAAAGGCUCACCAAGGCGACGAUCGGUAGCUGUUCUGAGAGGAAGAUCAGCCACACUGGGACUGAGACACGGCCCAGACUCCUACGGGAGGCAGCAGUUGGGAAUCUUGGACAAUGGGGGAAACCCUGAUCCAGCCAUGCCGCGUGAGUGAUGAAGGCCUUAGGGUUGUAAAACUCUUUCGGCGGGGACGAUAAUGACGGUACCGCAGAAGAAGCUCCGGCUAACUUCGCGCCAGCAGCCGC
This 448-nucleotide ribosomal RNA is filed under the name uncultured bacterium. RNAcentral's name for it is "SSU rRNA". It matches the Rfam family "Bacterial small subunit ribosomal RNA", at positions 26 to 518 of the family's 1533-position model. The record is from RNAcentral.